GGGAAUGUGGCUUAGUGGUAGAGAGCUUGCCUAGCAUGCAUGAAGUCCUGGGUUCAAUUCCUCAGUACCA
This 70-nucleotide transfer RNA is filed under the name Dipodomys ordii (Ord's kangaroo rat). It matches the Rfam family "tRNA". From Rfam's summary of the family: Transfer RNA (tRNA) molecules are approximately 80 nucleotides in length. Their secondary structure includes four short double-helical elements and three loops (D, anti-codon, and T loops). Further hydrogen bonds mediate the characteristic L-shaped molecular structure. tRNAs have two regions of fundamental functional importance: the anti-codon, which is responsible for specific mRNA codon recognition, and the 3' end, to which the tRNAs corresponding amino acid is attached (by aminoacyl-tRNA synthetases). tRNAs cope with the degeneracy of the genetic code in two manners: having more than one tRNA (with a specific anti-codon) for a particular amino acid; and 'wobble' base-pairing, i.e. permitting non-standard base-pairing at the 3rd anti-codon position. The record is from Rfam by way of RNAcentral. Lineage: Eukaryota; Metazoa; Chordata; Mammalia; Rodentia; Heteromyidae.